UGGGAAUGAAGAGUUGAGGACCACUGGAU
RNAcentral lists this non-coding RNA (29 nucleotides) under Rattus norvegicus (Norway rat). Lineage: Eukaryota; Metazoa; Chordata; Mammalia; Rodentia; Muridae. The record is from RNAcentral.